AUUGAACGCUGGCGGCAUGCUUUACACAUGCAAGUCGGACGGUAACAGCACUUCGGUGGCUGACGAGUGGCGAACGGGUGAGUAAUACAUCGGAACGUGCCUAGUAGUGGGGGAUAACUACUCGAAAGAGUAGCUAAUACCGCAUGAGAUCUAAGGAUGAAAGCAGGGGACCUUCGGGCCUUGCGCUACUAGAGCGGCUGAUGGCAGAUUAGGUAGUUGGUGGGAUAAAAGCUUACCAAGCCGACGAUCUGUAGCUGGUCUGAGAGGACGACCAGCCACACUGGGAAUGAGCACCGGCCCAGCCUCCUACGGGAGGCAGCAGGGGGAAUUUUGGACAAUGGGCGAAAGCCUGAUCCAGCAAUGCCGCGUGCAGGAUGAAGGCCUUCGGGUUGUAAACUGCUUUUGUACGGAACGAAAAGCCCUCUUCUAAUACAGGAGGGUCAUGACGGUACCGUAAGAAUAAGCACCGGCUAACUACGUG
RNAcentral lists this ribosomal RNA (481 nucleotides) under uncultured bacterium. RNAcentral describes it as "partial 16S ribosomal RNA". It matches the Rfam family "Bacterial small subunit ribosomal RNA", at positions 30 to 507 of the family's 1533-position model. The record is from RNAcentral.